This 440-nucleotide ribosomal RNA is filed under the name uncultured bacterium. RNAcentral's name for it is "partial 16S ribosomal RNA". It matches the Rfam family "Bacterial small subunit ribosomal RNA", at positions 338 to 795 of the family's 1533-position model. The record is from RNAcentral.
CCUACGGGUGGCAGCAGUCGAGAAUCAUUCACAAUGGGGGAAACCCUGAUGGUGCGACGCCGCGUGAGUGAAGAAGUAAUUCGUUAUGUAAAGCUCUAUCAGCAGGGAAGAAAAUGACGGUACCUGAGUAAGAAGCCCCGGCUAACUACGUGCCAGCAGCCGCGGUAAUACGUAGGGGGCAAGCGUUAUCCGGAUUUACUGGGUGUAAAGGGAGCGUAGACGGCAGUGCAAGUCUGGAGUGAAAGGCGGGGGCUCAACCGCGGGACGGCUCUGGAAACUGUACGGCUGGAGUGCAGGAGAGGGAAGUGGAAUUCCGAGUGUAGCGGUGAAAUGCGCAGAUAUUAGGAGGAACACCAGUGGCGAAGGCGGCUUACUGGACUGUAACUGACGUUGAGGCUCGAAAGCGUGGGGAGCAAACAGGAUUAGAUACCCGAGUAGUC